UAGGGAAUCUUCGGCAAUGGACGAAAGUCUGACCGAGCAACGCCGCGUGAGUGAAGAAGGUUUUCGGAUCGUAAAACUCUGUUGUUAGAGAAGAACAAGGACGUUAGUAACUGAACGUCCCCUGACGGUAUCUAACCAGAAAGCAACGGCUAACUACGUGCCAGCAGCCGCGGUAAUACGUAGGUGGCAAGCGUUGUCCGGAUUUAUUGGGCGUAAAGCGAGCGCAGGCGGUUUCUUAAGUCUGAUGUGAAAGCCCCCUGCUCAACCGGGGAGGGUCAUUGGAAACUGGGAGACUUGAGUGCAGAAGAGGAGAGUGGAAUUCCAUGUGUAGCGGUGAAAUGCGUAGAUAUAUGGAGGAACACCAGUGGCGAAGGCGGCUCACUGGUCUGUAACUGACGCUGAGGCUCGAAAGCGUGGGGAGCAAACAGG
This 429-nucleotide ribosomal RNA is filed under the name Gemmatimonadota bacterium. RNAcentral's name for it is "Gemmatimonadetes bacterium partial 16S ribosomal RNA". It matches the Rfam family "Bacterial small subunit ribosomal RNA", at positions 355 to 776 of the family's 1533-position model. Lineage: Bacteria; Pseudomonadati; Gemmatimonadota. The record is from RNAcentral.